CACCCCUGCGAAAUUCACUUUCCCCCCAAAUCACUCUUUUCACUCUCAUUCAUCCCCAAUUUCAACUCUCCCAUGGCGCCCUAAUUCUCUGUCAAAACUGAGUGAAGGUGCGACGGUGGUGAAAUUAGACAACCAAAUUCAUUUUGUUUAUCAGCUCAUUUAAGCAAACGGCCAAGUCUCGCGUAAUUACUGACCCUCAAGUUGUGUCGGCCGAAGUGAACCAUUUCCGCUGAAAGGAACGACAGCUUCACUAAGGCGGCAGAGGACAAGGUGCGCUAACCUCGACUUCGUUUGUGCUUCCCUCAACAUCUCAUGUGAAGAAAGAAAAUAAAAAGGAUGGCACCGCGUUCUAAGAAUGACUCCUGGUUGUGGAUGAGGUUGGAAGAUAUAAUGCUACUUUACCGCGUUGAGUCGUCUACACUUGUCCACCGAUACAUAAGUGCGCGCAGCACUACGAAAAAAAGGAAAAUUCUGGACCAAGCUAGAACAUACAACUUACUCAAUAAAAUCCCAACACAGUUAGAGCGCCUGAAUCGUCUAAUUAAUGUGACUGAUGCUGAUUGUAUUGCAAAUCUGCGCAUGGAUCGUAACACCUUUGGUAGGUUGUGUUGCAUUCUUUCAUAACGGGGUGGUCUUUGGACAGGUAAAAGCCUUGCAGUUGAAGAGCAGAAAGCAAUAUUUCUAUCUGUACUUGCGCACCACGAUAAAAACUGCGUAGUAAAGUUUAAUUUCAUGCGGUCGAGUGGCACCGUGUCCUACUACAUGCAUAAAGUCCUUGGCGCGGUUCUAUGUCUGCACUCUGUCCUCCUUUCAAAGCCUAUACCUGUCCCCGAUGAUUGCAUUGACCACAGAUGGUGAUGGUUUAAGGGAUGUCUCGGGGCUUUGGAUGGAACUCACAUCAAUGUGUUAGUGAGUACUACAGAUAAGCCUCGUUAUCGAUCACGGAAGGGGCAGAUAGCUACAAAUGUCCUCGCUGUAUGCGACCGUAACAUGCAGUUCGUGUAUUUCCUACCCGGCUGGGAAGGCUCCGCUGGUGACGUGUACUAAAGGACGCAGUAUCUCAGGACAAUGGUUUGAAAGUCCCACAAGGUUGUUAUUAUCUUUGCGAUAAUGGCUAUGCUAAUAGCAAUGGCUUCUUGAUGCCGUACAAAGGAGUUCGGUAUCAUCUGAAGGAAUGGGGUCCGGGUAUGGAGAUGCCACAAAACUCAAAAGAGAUAUUCAAUAUGCGGCAUAUGAAAGCGCGAAACGUCAUUGAGCGGGCGUUUGCAGUACUAAAAUGCGAUGGGGGAUACUAAGAAGCGCGUCUUUUUACCCCAUUGAAACGCAGAUCCGUCUGAUUAUGUCAUGUUUUUUACUCCACAAUUUCAUUCGACGAGAAAUGGAAAUAGAUCCCGUUCAAGUGGAACUUGAGGCCAGCGUGACGAACAUAACCACUAGUGAAGACAACAUUGGCAUCGAUUAUGUUGAUUGUAUUGAGCCGACUGCAGAGUGGACUCAGACUCGGGAUGCCAUAGCCAUGAAUAUGUGGAACCAUAGACAAAACUACUAAUUUAGCUCUUGUUAGCAUUAACUACCUACUUUGUUUUCUUUUAAGUUUAUGGAGUAGACCACUUUCCUUUUUUAAUUUCACGGACCUAUUUAGGUAAUCCAUUUAUAUA
Molecule: long non-coding RNA, 1658 nt
Organism: Salvia splendens (bonfire salvia)
Lineage: Eukaryota; Viridiplantae; Streptophyta; Magnoliopsida; Lamiales; Lamiaceae
Exons: 5
Source: RefSeq, a predicted model, not a curated record